CCAGAACUAGCUAAGUUCCUCCAAAGCUCUCUCUCUUCAUUUAAUCAAUGCCACGUAGGAAUUUUUGCUGAGUUGGACCCGAAGUUCUUGCUGAAGUUCUCUGCAUUGGGGCCAGCCUCAGCGCCGCCACUGCAUCUUCCUCGGGAUCCUCUCAGAUCCCCUUCUCACCCAACCAGUGCGAUCCACCAAUCUAGCCCCCUCCAUCCACCGACGCCUCCCCUGCUCGAUCCCGAGGGGAUCACGAGCAGCUCCCCACCGGUUGCCAGCGCAGCAGCGCACCUCACCUCGCGUCAUGGGGCUCCAAGUCCGCCCGGCUCGCCGCCGCUUCUAUCCGGCAGGGAACGAGACCCCGAUGACCUCCCGUGACCGGAUCCAGCACCACCACGGUCGCCACCGCAGCCUCGCUCCCAGUUUUUCGCGAGCAGAGACCCCCAGCGAACCUCUCGCUCCCUUGUGCAAGCCCCUGCUCCGCCCCUCCGUCCUCGCCGUUGGCCCCGGCGGCGCCGCCCCUCGCAGGUCAUCUGGAGCUCCCGAGGACGCCAUGGCUCCUGGACCUCAAGUCUUCACCGGAUCCGACUGGGAAUGGAGGGUCUAGCCCAUCCCCGACCUCUGGCCGUCCCCUGCCUCGCCGGAGCGCCUCCCCGCCAUGACUGCCUGGACCUGAAGCCCAUCUUCACCCUGUUCCACACCUCGCCUCGCCUCGCCUCUGGUCAAAUCGGCUCCAUAGGGCUGGGACCGUUCGUCCGCUCCAUCCCUGCAGUUCCGCCGGAGUCCUCAGCUCGCCGGAGUUGCGCCAAGUUCCCCUGCAUCGCGCCAGACGCCGCCCUCCGCUGCUGCCUUGCCGCCGUUCCCCUGCGUACUCUGCUUCGUUCGAACCAGGGAAGGGGACGAGCGCUCGCGUUGACCAGUCCUGCCUCGCUGAACCGCUUGACCGCCAGAUCAGCGCCCGCGCAUGGGCCUCCUCUUGCCUCGCACCCAGGCCCAGCCCCUGCUGGCCUUCCUCCUCCACCUGGGCCUGGCCCAAAGUGAGCAGCCCCUCCAGCCCUCUCCUGUACACUUGGCCUAGCCAGAUUCGGCCCGUUGUGUUUUUUCCUGCUGCUAAGAGUUUAGCUUUUUCCUGAAAUAACUGUUUUGCAGUUUAGUCCCUAGAAUCAUGCAUCUAAUAACUUCUCACCCGUGCAUCGGAUUAAAACAAACUUUAUAUGCAGAAUGUCCAGAAUUUUGUCUAGUUUAUUAAUAUCCAACUUUCAUCUAUGUUUAAAAUGUUUAAAAUGAUGUUUGCAUAAAUUUUGCCCCUAUGUCAUGUUAAAAUGCUUUAUUUCAUAACUAAAUAACCGUAGCUCCAAAUCUAAUAAACUUUAU
Triticum aestivum (bread wheat) is the source of this 1362-nucleotide RNA transcript. RefSeq lists it as uncharacterized. The record is from RefSeq and is a predicted model, not a curated record. The transcript is spliced from 2 exons. Lineage: Eukaryota; Viridiplantae; Streptophyta; Magnoliopsida; Poales; Poaceae.